Molecule: long non-coding RNA, 581 nt
Filed under: Oryctolagus cuniculus (rabbit)
Lineage: Eukaryota; Metazoa; Chordata; Mammalia; Lagomorpha; Leporidae
Description: lncRNA (ENSOCUG00000021269.2)
Source: RNAcentral
UGCGCCAACUUAGCGUUUUCCACCAACUCGGGGAGCAGAAACCUUCACAGGUUUUACAAUCUUUUGCUUAGGUGCUGCCUUUGUAGGAGCCUUAGCAGCCUGCUUAGCCUUUUUGGCUUCCUUGGCAGCCCUGAUAGCUUGUUCUUGUUGAGCCUGUCUAACUUCAGGUUUCUGAUUUCUCUUGGCCAUUAUAUCAGCAAGAGAUGCACCAGUGAUGGCUCUCUGGAAUUUGACUGCACGACGAGUUCUUUUCUUUUGAAUUUCUUCCGACUGCCCCUUUUUAUGUUUUCUUCUGUAGAGGACAGUCCAGUUUAUCUGCCGAGGAUUUCUCUUGGAAAGAAACGCAGACUCGCAUUUUGCGUUAAGAAAUUGGAAAACCUUCCCGUCGGUCCUGGCAUAGCGCCUCCCGUGUCCGGGAUAGAUCUUAUACCCGCUGAAACUGCACAGUUCGACCUUCAUGGCAGCUUGGAAAGAAACACAUAUGCAUGUACACUCACACAGACCACCCACAUGCUUCAGGGUAUUACGGCUGGCUGAUUAGAAGCUAGCUCUCCUAGAAUAAAUAUCUUGCCCCUCUCUCA